GGCGCUAUAGCCAAGUGGUAAGGCAAAGGUCUGCAACACCUCUACCCCCAGUUCAAAUCUGGGUGGCGCCUCCA
This 74-nucleotide transfer RNA is filed under the name Clostridium liquoris. RNAcentral describes it as "tRNA-Cys". It matches the Rfam family "tRNA". From Rfam's summary of the family: Transfer RNA (tRNA) molecules are approximately 80 nucleotides in length. Their secondary structure includes four short double-helical elements and three loops (D, anti-codon, and T loops). Further hydrogen bonds mediate the characteristic L-shaped molecular structure. tRNAs have two regions of fundamental functional importance: the anti-codon, which is responsible for specific mRNA codon recognition, and the 3' end, to which the tRNAs corresponding amino acid is attached (by aminoacyl-tRNA synthetases). tRNAs cope with the degeneracy of the genetic code in two manners: having more than one tRNA (with a specific anti-codon) for a particular amino acid; and 'wobble' base-pairing, i.e. permitting non-standard base-pairing at the 3rd anti-codon position. The record is from RNAcentral. Lineage: Bacteria; Bacillati; Bacillota; Clostridia; Eubacteriales; Clostridiaceae.